GACGAACGCUGGCGGCGUGCUUAACACAUGCAAGUCGAACGGAAAGGCCCUGCUUUUGUGGGGUGCUCGAGUGGCGAACGGGUGAGUAACACGUGAGUAACCUGCCCUUGACUUUGGGAUAACUUCAGGAAACUGGGGCUAAUACCGGAUAGGAGCUCCUGCUGCAUGGUGGGGGUUGGAAGGUUUCGGCGGUUGGGGAUGGACUCGCGGCUUAUCAGCUUGUUGGUGGGGUAGUGGCUUACCAAGGCUUUGACGGGUAGCCGGCCUGAGAGGGUGACCGGCCACUUUGGGACUGAGAUACGGCCCAGACUCCUACGGGAGGCAGCAGUGGGGAAUAUUGCACAAUGGGCGGAAGCCUGAUGCAGCAACGCCGCGUGCGGGAUGACGGCCUUCGGGUUGUAAACCGCUUUCGCCUGUGACGAAGCGUGAGUGACGGUAAUGGGUAAAGAAGCACCGGCUAACUACGUG
This 468-nucleotide ribosomal RNA is filed under the name uncultured bacterium. RNAcentral describes it as "partial 16S ribosomal RNA". It matches the Rfam family "Bacterial small subunit ribosomal RNA", at positions 28 to 507 of the family's 1533-position model. The record is from RNAcentral.